UACGAAGGGGGCUAGCGUUGCUCGGAAUUACUGGUCGUAAAGCGCACGUAGGCGGAUUGUUAAGUCGGGGGUGAAAUCCUGGAGCUCAACUCCAGAACUGCCUUCGAUACUGGCGAUCUCGAGUUCGGGAGAGGUGAGUGGAACUGCGAGUGUAGAGGUGAAAUUCGUAGAUAUUCGCAAGAACACCAGUGGCGAAGGCGGCUCACUGGCCCGGUACUGACGCUGAGGCACGAAAGCGUGGGGAGCAAACAGG
RNAcentral lists this ribosomal RNA (253 nucleotides) under uncultured bacterium. RNAcentral's name for it is "partial 16S ribosomal RNA". It matches the Rfam family "Bacterial small subunit ribosomal RNA", at positions 524 to 776 of the family's 1533-position model. The record is from RNAcentral.